GGUAAUAUGGCCGAGGAAAGGCAGUGAGCUGUAAAUUCACGCACAGGAGUUGUACCCUUAUUACCAG
RNAcentral lists this transfer RNA (67 nucleotides) under Pachydactylus monicae. RNAcentral's name for it is "tRNA-Tyr". It matches the Rfam family "tRNA". From Rfam's summary of the family: Transfer RNA (tRNA) molecules are approximately 80 nucleotides in length. The record is from RNAcentral. Lineage: Eukaryota; Metazoa; Chordata; Lepidosauria; Squamata; Gekkonidae.